RNAcentral lists this ribosomal RNA (474 nucleotides) under uncultured organism. Its description in RNAcentral is "partial 16S ribosomal RNA". It matches the Rfam family "Bacterial small subunit ribosomal RNA", at positions 332 to 797 of the family's 1533-position model. The record is from RNAcentral.
UACACUCCUACGGGAGGCAGCAGUGGGGAAUUUUGGACAAUGGGCGAAAGCCUGAUCCAGCAAUGCCGCGUGAGUGAAGAAGGCCUUCGGGUUGUAAAGCUCUUUUGUCAGGGAAGAAACGGUGAGAGCUAAUAUCUCUUGCUAAUGACGGUACCUGAAGAAUAAGCACCGGCUAACUACGUGCCAGCAGCCGCGGUAAUACGUAGGGUGCAAGCGUUAAUCGGAAUUACUGGGCGUAAAGCGUGCGCAGGCGGUUUUGUAAGUCUGAUGUGAAAUCCCCGGGCUCAACCUGGGAAUUGCAUUGGAGACUGCAAGGCUAGAAUCUGGCAGAGGGGGGUAGAAUUCCACGUGUAGCAGUGAAAUGCGUAGAUAUGUGGAGGAACACCGAUGGCGAAGGCAGCCCCCUGGGUCAAGAUUGACGCUCAUGCACGAAAGCGUGGGGAGCAAACAGGAUUAGAUACCCCGGUAGUCCCA